UAGGGAAUAUUGGACAAUGGGUGCAAGCCUGAUCCAGCCAUGCCGCGUGCAGGAAGAAGGCCUUCUGGGUCGUAAACUGCUUUUGCCGGGGGAUAAAAUAGCUUUGCGAAGCGAAUUGAAGGUACCUGGUGAAUAAGCCACGGCUAACUACGUGCCAGCAGCCGCGGUAAUACGUAGGUGGCAAGCGUUGUCCGGAUUUAUUGGGUUUAAAGGGUGCGUAGGCGGUCAAAUAAGUCAGUGGUGAAAUACGGCAGCUUAACUGUCGAGGUGCCAUUGAUACUGCUUGACUUGAGUACUGAUGAGGUAGGCGGAAUGGACGGUGUAGCGGUGAAAUGCUUAGAGAUCGUCCAGAACACCGAUAGCGAAGGCAGCUUACUAAGGAGUAACUGACGCUGAGGCACGAAAGUGUGGGGAUCAAACAGG
Molecule: ribosomal RNA, 423 nt
Filed under: uncultured Flammeovirgaceae bacterium
Lineage: Bacteria; Pseudomonadati; Bacteroidota; Cytophagia; Cytophagales; Flammeovirgaceae
Description: bacterial SSU rRNA
Rfam family: Bacterial small subunit ribosomal RNA
Source: RNAcentral